RNAcentral lists this ribosomal RNA (474 nucleotides) under uncultured bacterium. RNAcentral's name for it is "SSU rRNA". It matches the Rfam family "Bacterial small subunit ribosomal RNA", at positions 26 to 518 of the family's 1533-position model. The record is from RNAcentral.
AGGACGAACGCUGGCGGCGUGCUUAACACAUGCAAGUCGAGCGGAAAGGCCCUUCGGGGUACUCGAGCGGCGAACGGGUGAGUAACACGUGAGCAAUCUGCCCUUAGCUUCGGGAUAGCCCCGGGAAACCGGGAUUAAUACCGAAUACGACCUCGGCCGACAUCGGCUUUGGUGGAAAGUUUUUCGGCUAGGGAUGAACUCGCGGCCUAUCAGCUUGUUGGUGGGGUAAUGGCCUACCAAGGCGACGACGGGUAGCCGGCCUGAGAGGGCGACCGGCCACACUGGGACUGAGACACGGCCCAGACUCCUACGGGAGGCAGCAGUGGGGAAUAUUGCGCAAUGGGCGAAAGCCUGACGCAGCGACGCCGCGUAGGGGAUGAAGGCCUUCGGGUUGUAAACCCCUUUCAGCAGGGACGAAGCGAGAGUGACGGUACCUGCAGAAGAAGCGCCGGCUAACUACGCACCAGCAGCCGC